RNAcentral lists this ribosomal RNA (426 nucleotides) under uncultured bacterium. RNAcentral describes it as "bacterial SSU rRNA". It matches the Rfam family "Bacterial small subunit ribosomal RNA", at positions 356 to 774 of the family's 1533-position model. The record is from RNAcentral.
GGGGAAUUUUGGACAAUGGGCGCAAGCCUGAUCCAGCCAUGCCGCGUGCGGGAAGAAGGCCUUCGGGUUGUAAACCGCUUUUGUCGGGGAAGAAAUCUCUCGGGCUAAUACCUCGGGGGGAUGACGGUACCCGAAGAAUAAGCACCGGCUAACUACGUGCCAGCAGCCGCGGUAAUACGUAGGGUGCGAGCGUUAAUCGGAAUUACUGGGCGUAAAGCGUGCGCAGGCGGUCGUGCAAGACAGAUGUGAAAUCCCCGGGCUCAACCUGGGAACUGCAUUUGUGACUGCACGGCUGGAGUACGGCAGAGGGGGAUGGAAUUCCGCGUGUAGCAGUGAAAUGCGUAGAUAUGCGGAGGAACACCGAUGGCGAAGGCAGUCCCCUGGGCCUGUACUGACGCUCAUGCACGAAAGCGUGGGGAGCAAACA